AGCAGCCGCGGUAAUUCCAGCUCCAAUAGCGUAUAUUAAAGUUGUUGCAGUUAAAAAGCUCGUAGUUGAAUUUCGGGGUCAGUAGGUCGGUCGUGCCACUGGUAUGAACUGGUUUUACUGAUUCCUCCCUCUUGAAGAACUGUAAUGCCAUUAAUUUGGUGUUGCAGGGAAUCAGGACUGUUACUUUGAAAAAAUUAGAGUGUUUAAAGCAGGCUUUAGCUUGAAUACAUUAGCAUGGAAUAAUGAAAUAGGACGUUCGAACCUAUUUUGUUGGUUUCUAGGAUUGACGUAAUGAUUAAUAGGGAUAGUUGGGGGCAUUAGUAUUCAAUUGUCAGAGGUGAAAUUCUUGGAUUUAUUGAAGACUAACUACUGCGAAAGCAUUUUGCCAAGGAUGUUUUCAUUAAUCAAGAACGAAAGUUAGGGGAUCGAAGACGAUCAGAUACCGUCGUAGUCUUAACCAUAAACUAUGCCGACUAGGGAUCGGAUGAUGUUAAUUUUUUAAUGACUCA
RNAcentral lists this ribosomal RNA (509 nucleotides) under Glomus sp. MO-G2. RNAcentral describes it as "SSU rRNA". It matches the Rfam family "Eukaryotic small subunit ribosomal RNA", at positions 569 to 1078 of the family's 1831-position model. The record is from RNAcentral. Lineage: Eukaryota; Fungi; Glomeromycota; Glomeromycetes; Glomerales; Glomeraceae.